RNAcentral lists this ribosomal RNA (274 nucleotides) under uncultured bacterium. RNAcentral's name for it is "partial 16S ribosomal RNA". It matches the Rfam family "Bacterial small subunit ribosomal RNA", at positions 523 to 796 of the family's 1533-position model. The record is from RNAcentral.
AUACGGAGGGUGCAAGCGUUGUUCGGAAUCAUUGGGCGUAAAGCGGGCGUAGGCGGCUCAGCAAGUCGGGUGUGAAAGCCCAGGGCUCAACCCUGGAACUGCACUCGAAACUGCUGAGCUAGAGUCCCAGAGAGGGUGGCGGAAUUCCCGGUGUAGAGGUGAAAUUCGUAGAUAUCGGGAGGAACACCAGUGGCGAAGGCGGCCCCCUGGCCCAAUACUGACGCUGAGGUACGAAAGCGUGGGUAGCGAACGGGAUUAGAAACCCCGGUAGUCC